This 490-nucleotide ribosomal RNA is filed under the name uncultured bacterium. Its description in RNAcentral is "partial 16S ribosomal RNA". It matches the Rfam family "Bacterial small subunit ribosomal RNA", at positions 30 to 507 of the family's 1533-position model. The record is from RNAcentral.
UGAACGCUGGCGGCAUGCUUUACACAUGCACGUCGAACGGUAACAGGCCUUCGGGUGCUGACGAGUGGCGAACGGGUGAGUAAUGCAUCGGAACGUACCCAGAGGUGGGGGAUAACGCAGCGAAAGCUGUGCUAAUACCGCAUGUGAUCUGAGGAUGAAAGCGGGGGACCGAGCAGCAAUGUUUGGCCUCGCGCCUUUGGAGCGGCCGAUGUCGGAUUAGCUAGUUGGUGGGGUAAAGGCCUACCAAGGCGACGAUCCGUAGCUGGUCUGAGAGGACGACCAGCCACACUGGGACUGAGACACGGCCCAGACUCCUACGGGAGGCAGCAGUGGGGAAUUUUGGACGAUGGGCGCAAGCCUGAUCCAGCAAUGCCGCGUGCGGGAAGAAGGCCUUCGGGUUGUAAACCGCUUUUGGCAGGAACGAAACGGUGUCCGCUAAUACCGGGCGCUAAUGACGGUACCUGCAGAAUAAGCACCGGCUAACUACGUG